RNAcentral lists this ribosomal RNA (476 nucleotides) under uncultured bacterium. Its description in RNAcentral is "bacterial SSU rRNA". It matches the Rfam family "Bacterial small subunit ribosomal RNA", at positions 28 to 480 of the family's 1533-position model. The record is from RNAcentral.
GAUGAACGCUGGCGGCGUGCCUAACACAUGCAAGUCGAGCGGGAUCUUUUUAAAUGACGCUUCGGUUGAUUUUAAAAAGUGAGAGCGGCGGACGGGUGAGUAACGCGUAGGCAACCUGCCCUUUGCAGAGGGAUAGCCAUUGGAAACGAUGAUUAAAACCUCAUAAUGCCAGACUGAGACAUCUCUAACUGGCCAAAGAUUUAUCGGCAAAGGGAUGGGCCUGCGUCUGAUUAGCUAGUUGGUGGGGUAACGGCCUACCAAGGCGACGAUCAGUAGCCGACCUGAGAGGUGAUCGGCCACAUUGGGACUGAGACACGGCCCAGACUCCUACGGGAGGCAGCAGUGGGGAAUUUUCCGCAAUGGGCGCAAGCCUGACGGAGCAAUGCGCGUGAAUGAAGAAGGUCUUCGGAUCGUAAAGUUCUGUCAUCAAGGAAGAACAGUAGUGAUGUGAAUAAUGUCAUUACCUGACGGUACUU